ACGGGAGGCAGCAGUGGGGAAUAUUGCACAAUGGGGGAAACCCUGAUGCAGCGACGCCGCGUGAGUGAAGAAGUAUCUCGGUAUGUAAAGCUCUAUCAGCAGGGAAGAAAAUGACGGUACCUGACUAAGAAGCCCCGGCUAACUACGUGCCAGCAGCCGCGGUAAUACGUAGGGGGCAAGCGUUAUCCGGAUUUACUGGGUGUAAAGGGAGCGCAGACGGAAUGGCGAGUCUGAAGUGAAAUGUAGGGGCUCAACCCCUGAACUGCUUUGGAAACUGUCGAUCUUGAGUACCGGAGGGGCAAGCGGAAUUCCAGGUGUAGCGGUGAAAUGCGUAGAUAUCUGGAAGAACACCAGUGGCGAAGGCGGCUUGCUGGACGGUAACUGACGUUCAGGCUCGAAAGCGUGGGGAGCAAACAGGAUUAGAUACCCUGGUA
RNAcentral lists this ribosomal RNA (434 nucleotides) under uncultured Lachnospiraceae bacterium. RNAcentral's name for it is "bacterial SSU rRNA". It matches the Rfam family "Bacterial small subunit ribosomal RNA", at positions 341 to 792 of the family's 1533-position model. The record is from RNAcentral. Lineage: Bacteria; Bacillati; Bacillota; Clostridia; Lachnospirales; Lachnospiraceae.